AGCGAACGUUAGCGGCGGGCCUAACACAUGCAAGUCGAGCGAGAAAAGGGCUUCGGCCCUUAGUAAAGCGGCGGACGGGUGAGUAACACGUAGGUAAUCUUCCCUUGAGCGGGGGACAACGAGCCGAAAGGCUCGCUAAUACCGCAUAAGUUUCCAGGGACCUCGGUUCUUGGAAGGAAAGCUAGGUAGCAAUAUCCGGCACUCGAGGAGGAGCCUGCGUCGCAUCAGCUAGUUGGUGGGGUAAUGGCCUACCAAGGCGAAGACGCGUAGCUGGUCUGAGAGGAUGAUCAGCCACACUGGGACUGAGACACGGCCCAGACUCCUACGGGUGGCUG
Molecule: ribosomal RNA, 335 nt
Filed under: uncultured Pseudomonadota bacterium
Lineage: Bacteria; Pseudomonadati; Pseudomonadota
Description: bacterial SSU rRNA
Rfam family: Bacterial small subunit ribosomal RNA
Source: RNAcentral